RNAcentral lists this long non-coding RNA (1563 nucleotides) under Felis catus (domestic cat). RNAcentral's name for it is "lncRNA (ENSFCAG00000048276.1)". The record is from RNAcentral. Lineage: Eukaryota; Metazoa; Chordata; Mammalia; Carnivora; Felidae.
AUGCUGGUGUUUCAACAUCCUCAACUUGACGACAGAAAGGUCAGUGCAAGGCAUGGGGCAUUCACAAACCACACCACAAGGGCCAGGCAGAGGGGAAGCAAGGGGCCAGGAAUUCGUACUCCCACCCCGCUCCCCCCCCCCCCACCACACUCCCACCCUGGAUCCCCUCAAAAAGCAGCCAGGACAGAGAAAGCUAGGGGCUGGCCCCCUGUCCUAAACUUCCCUGAUAGCUUACAAACAACUUUUAAACUCACGGGACCGUACCAACGCCAGGGAAGUCAAGUCCGAAUUCAACGCCGGCCAAACUGCUCAUUCUCCAACCACAGCGCCUGCCUCUUUAUCUCUACCUUCAAAAAAACAAUAAUAAGCAAACGCAGGCACCUCUGGGAACAGCCUCUGGCCUCCUGCCCUGCCCUGUGUAACCAGCCUGUCCUCACACCCACGAGAGAGGAGGAGACAGCCCCAGUUAACCCUCUGGUCUACCAGGCCCUGUUCCCAGGUUGCAGCAGGAAGACAAACUGUUGCUCAAGAAAAGCCUCCAGAAAACCCUUGGCACCCGGAGGCAGAUCCCUGCAGCUUCUGCCCAGCGCCGAGCCAGGGGCUUCCACAGGCAGCUUCUUAAAUCUGCGGGGUUGGGCUCCACUCUCCCAUGCCCUGGGCUGUCCACCCAGGGGGCUCCAAACGGCCAUGGCAGAGCAGGGAGGAGGAAAAGGCUGGCCGAGCAGUGCCCUCACCCUGCCAGCCCAGCCGCCAGCUUCUUGGAGGACCUCUGAGAGAACAUUUGUUUGGGCUGCCAAGUUAAAUCUCCCUCCCUCAUGUCAAGGCAUUGGAAAAGCAGUCAGGGGAGAGGAGAAGGGGGAGAGCUGGGAAGGAGCAGCGGGAGGGAGGGAGGCAGGCAGGCAGGCAGGCAGGCAGCUCUCAGAGCCCCAGUUACUCAGGCGCUGCCCAAGGAAGCUUGCGCUCCCAGGCCGGAGGGGGGACACCCAAGCAGGGGCCGGGCCACCAGCCCUCCAGGAUCAGGCACCGGGUGCUAGUCGCUCUGUGCCCCGGCCUCCGGAGAGGCCCUCGCUCUGUGCCCGGCUAGAGGGGCGAGGUGGGAAGGGAAGGCAGAGGAGGAAAAAGUUUGUGGCAGGUAAAGGGGUAAGCGCUGAGCAGCCCCGCCGUCGGGUUGUCCCCCAGGGAGGGAUGGGGUGGGGGGGGGGCCGGGACCGCUGCCCCGGCGCGCUCCCGCCAGCCCGCCCUCCUGCCCGGGUUGUUUACAUUCCUGGAGUGUCUUUUAAACCCGGGGCUGAGGCCGACUCCCGGCCUUCUCCGGCGGCUCCGGGGCAGUCUCCCGUGAAAAUCUGCUGGCGCACAAUGGCCGGGAAGGCGGCCGCCCCUCGCCCGCGCCCCCGCUGCUCCGGGGCGGGGAGCCUGCCCUCCGCACCGCGCCUCUCCCCGCCCGCCUGGCUUCCUGGACAGAUGUCCCCGGCGAGGGGGCGACGCGCGCCCGCUGCCCGCGCCCCAGACGCUGAGGCCGCGCUCCCCACUGUUUUCUCCCCAGCCCAGACGCCAGGAAUGUGA